AAACAAAAUGGUAAAGAGUAUCAGAUCACCAGUUUUACACCUAGAGACCAGAAUGUUGUAAGUGGGAAGUGCCCAUAAUGUUAAAUUAUCUUAAUGCUACUUUCAUUAACCUUUUGGACUGUAUAACAACAUAAUGUUUUGGUACAUAAAGAGCAUAACUACCGGCCAGCGAAAAGUUGAAAUUAUGUCAAAGAUUCCCAAGAAAGCUGAUAAAACAAACAGUUAGCAUGUUACACUUCUGUGGAUCCAGUCUAAUAAUUU
Molecule: long non-coding RNA, 261 nt
Filed under: Solanum tuberosum (potato)
Lineage: Eukaryota; Viridiplantae; Streptophyta; Magnoliopsida; Solanales; Solanaceae
Description: long non-coding RNA (STUB_LNC002856)
Source: RNAcentral